CCUACGGGAGGCAGCAGUAGGGAAUAUUGCACAAUGGGCGAAAGCCUGACGCAGCGACGCCGCGUGAGGGAUGAAGGUCUUCGGAUCGUAAACCGCUGUCAGCAGGGAAGAACGGUCACUGUGCUAAUCAGCAGUGAAUUGACGGUACCUGCAAAGGAAGCACCGGCUAACUCCGUGCCAGCAGCCGCGGUAAUACGGAGGAUGCGAGCGUUAUCCGGAUUUAUUGGGUUUAAAGGGUGCGUAGGCUGGCUUUUAAGUCAGCGGUCAAAUCGUGGGGCUCAACCCCAUCCAGCGUUUGAUACUGGGGAUCUAGAGUGUGUGAGAGGUAUGCGGAAUGCGUGGUGAAGCGGUGAAAUGCAUAGAUAUAACGCAGAACCCCGAAUGCGAAGGCAGCAUACCGGUGCUAAACUGACGCUCAGGCACGAAAGCGUGGGUAUCGAACAGGAUUAGAUACCCGUGUAGUC
RNAcentral lists this ribosomal RNA (464 nucleotides) under uncultured bacterium. Its description in RNAcentral is "partial 16S ribosomal RNA". It matches the Rfam family "Bacterial small subunit ribosomal RNA", at positions 338 to 795 of the family's 1533-position model. The record is from RNAcentral.